GCCUGGGUGGCUCAGUGGUUGAGCAUCUGCCUUUAGCUCAGGUGGUGAUGCAAGGGUCCUGGGAUCGAGUCCCACAUCAGGCU
RNAcentral lists this transfer RNA (83 nucleotides) under Canis lupus familiaris (dog). It matches the Rfam family "tRNA". Rfam says of the family: Transfer RNA (tRNA) molecules are approximately 80 nucleotides in length. RNAcentral also lists the same sequence under 1 other name. Lineage: Eukaryota; Metazoa; Chordata; Mammalia; Carnivora; Canidae. The record is from Rfam by way of RNAcentral.